Molecule: ribosomal RNA, 467 nt
Filed under: uncultured bacterium
Lineage: Bacteria
Description: partial 16S ribosomal RNA
Rfam family: Bacterial small subunit ribosomal RNA
Source: RNAcentral
GACGAACGCUGGCGGCGUGCUUAACACAUGCAAGUCGAACGGAAAGGCCUGCUUUUGUGGGGUGCUCGAGUGGCGAACGGGUGAGUAACACGUGAGUAACCUGCCCUUGACUUUGGGAUAACUUCAGGAAACUGGGGCUAAUACCGGAUAGGAGCCCCUGCUGCAUGGGGGGGGUUGGAAAGGUUCGGCGGUUGGGGAUGGACUCGCGGCUUAUCAGCUUGUUGGUGGGGUAGUGGCUUACCAAGGCUUUGACGGGUAGCCGGCCUGAGAGGGUGACCGGCCACAUUGGGACUGAGAUACGGCCCAGACUCCUACGGGAGGCAGCAGUGGGGAAUAUUGCACAAUGGGCGGAAGCCUGAUGCAGCAACGCCGCGUGCGGGAUGACGGCCUUCGGGUUGUAAACCGCUUUCGCCUGUGACGAAGCGUGAGUGACGGUAAUGGGUAAAGAAGCACCGGCUAACUACGUG